This 465-nucleotide ribosomal RNA is filed under the name uncultured bacterium. Its description in RNAcentral is "partial 16S ribosomal RNA". It matches the Rfam family "Bacterial small subunit ribosomal RNA", at positions 28 to 507 of the family's 1533-position model. The record is from RNAcentral.
GAUGAACGCUGGCGGCGUGCUUAACACAUGCAAGUCGAACGGAAAGGCUCCUGCUUGCAGGGGUACUCGAGUGGCGAACGGGUGAGUAACACGUGGGUGAUCUGCCCUGCACUUCGGGAUAAGCCUGGGAAACUGGGUCUAAUACCGGAUAGGACCACAUUCUGGAUGGUGUGGUGGAAAGUUUUUCGGUGUGGGAUGAGCUCGCGGCCUAUCAGCUUGUUGGUGGGGUAAUGGCCUACCAAGGCGUCGACGGGUAGCCGGCCUGAGAGGGUGUACGGCCACAUUGGGACUGAGAUACGGCCCAGACUCCUACGGGAGGCAGCAGUGGGGAAUAUUGCACAAUGGGCGCAAGCCUGAUGCAGCGACGCCGCGUGGGGGAUGACGGCCUUCGGGUUGUAAACUCCUUUCGCUAGGGACGAAGCGCAAGUGACGGUACCUGGAGAAGAAGCACCGGCUAACUACGUG